Molecule: transfer RNA, 73 nt
Filed under: Mus musculus (house mouse)
Lineage: Eukaryota; Metazoa; Chordata; Mammalia; Rodentia; Muridae
Description: tRNA-Asp
Source: RNAcentral
AGCAAUGUGGCUCAGUUGGUAGACUGCUUAAGUAUCAUACAGGAAGCCUUGGGUUCAAUUCCCAGCCCUGGUU